UUACGGCUAUACCACGUUGGAACACCGAUUCCUGUACGAUCGUCAAAGUUAAGCAACAUCGAGCCUGGUCAUUACCUAGAUGUGUGACCGCUUGAGAAUACCAAGUGCUGCAAG
Acanthosepion pharaonis is the source of this 114-nucleotide non-coding RNA. The record is from the annotation of a GenBank genome assembly. Lineage: Eukaryota; Metazoa; Mollusca; Cephalopoda; Sepiida; Sepiidae.